Molecule: transfer RNA, 70 nt
Filed under: Eviota japonica
Lineage: Eukaryota; Metazoa; Chordata; Actinopteri; Gobiiformes; Gobiidae
Description: tRNA-Ile
Rfam family: tRNA
About the family: Transfer RNA (tRNA) molecules are approximately 80 nucleotides in length. Their secondary structure includes four short double-helical elements and three loops (D, anti-codon, and T loops). Further hydrogen bonds mediate the characteristic L-shaped molecular structure. tRNAs have two regions of fundamental functional importance: the anti-codon, which is responsible for specific mRNA codon recognition, and the 3' end, to which the tRNAs corresponding amino acid is attached (by aminoacyl-tRNA synthetases). tRNAs cope with the degeneracy of the genetic code in two manners: having more than one tRNA (with a specific anti-codon) for a particular amino acid; and 'wobble' base-pairing, i.e. permitting non-standard base-pairing at the 3rd anti-codon position.
Source: RNAcentral
GGGGCCGUGCCUGAAUCAAAGGGCCACUUUGAUAGAGUGGAUACUAGGGGUUAAAGUCCCCUCAGCUCCU